RNAcentral lists this ribosomal RNA (274 nucleotides) under uncultured bacterium. RNAcentral's name for it is "partial 16S ribosomal RNA". It matches the Rfam family "Bacterial small subunit ribosomal RNA", at positions 523 to 796 of the family's 1533-position model. The record is from RNAcentral.
AUACGGAGGGUGCAAACGUUGUUCGGAAUUACUGGGCGUAAAGCGCGCGUAGGCGAUUUGUUAAGUCAGAUGUGAAAGUCCACAGCUCAACUGUGGAAGUGCAUUUGAAACUGGCAGACUUGAGUACUGGAGGGGGUGGUGGAAUUCCCGGUGUAGAGGUGAAAUUCGUAGAUAUCGGGAGGAAUACCGGUGGCGAAGGCGACCACCUGGCCAGAUACUGACGCUGAGGUGCGAAAGCGUGGGGAGCAAACAGGAUUAGAUACCCUAGUAGUCC